This 456-nucleotide ribosomal RNA is filed under the name uncultured bacterium. RNAcentral's name for it is "bacterial SSU rRNA". It matches the Rfam family "Bacterial small subunit ribosomal RNA", at positions 335 to 784 of the family's 1533-position model. The record is from RNAcentral.
ACUCCUACGGGAGGCAGCAGUAGGGAACCUUCCACAAUGGGCGCAAGCCUGAUGGAGCAACACCGCGUGAGUGAAGAAGGGUUUCGGCUCGUAAAGCUCUGUUGUUAAAGAAGAACACGUAUGAGAGUAACUGUUCAUACGUUGACGGUAUUUAACCAGAAAGUCACGGCUAACUACGUGCCAGCAGCCGCGGUAAUACGUAGGUGGCAAGCGUUAUCCGGAUUUAUUGGGCGUAAAGAGAGUGCAGGCGGUUUCUAAGUCUGAUGUGAAAGCCUUCGGCUUAACCGGAGAAGUGCAUCGGAAACUGGAUAACUUGAGUGCAGAAGAGGGUAGUGGAACUCCAUGUGUAGCGGUGGAAUGCGUAGAUAUAUGGAAGAACACCAGUGGCGAAGGCGGCUACCUGGUCUGCAACUGACGCUGAGACUCGAAAGCAUGGGUAGCGAACAGGAUUAGAUA